GCAGUAGCCGCGGUAAUACAGAGGGUGCGAGUGUUAAUCGGAUUUACUGGGCGUAAGCGUGCGUAGGCGGCUUCUUAAGUCGGAUGUGAAAUCCCUGAGCUUAACUUAGGAAUUGCAUUCGAUACUGGGAAGCUAGAGUAUGGGAGAGGAUGGUAGAAUUCCAGGUGUAGCGGUGAAAUGCGUAGAGAUCUGGAGGAAUACCGAUGGCGAAGGCAGCCAUCUGGCCUAAUACUGACGCUGAGGUACGAAAGCAUGGGGAGCAAACAGGAUUAGAUACCCCGGUAGUCCCUGUCUCUUAUACA
This 302-nucleotide ribosomal RNA is filed under the name uncultured bacterium. RNAcentral's name for it is "partial 16S ribosomal RNA". It matches the Rfam family "Bacterial small subunit ribosomal RNA", at positions 508 to 808 of the family's 1533-position model. The record is from RNAcentral.